CCCAGACAGCCAGGAUGUUGGCUUAGAAGCAGCCAUCAUUUAAAGAAAGCGUAAUAGCUCACUGGUCGAGUCGGCCUGCGCGGAAGAUGUAACGGGGCUAAACCAUGCACCGAAGCUGCGGCAGCGACACUGUGUGUUGUUGGGUAGGGGAGCGUUCUGUAAGCCUGUGAAGGUGGCCUGUGAGGGUUGCUGGAGGUAUCAGAAGUGCGAAUGCUGACAUAAGUAACGAUAAAGCGGGUGAAAAGCCCGCUCGCCGGAAGACCAAGGGUUCCUGUCCAACGUUAAUCGGGGCAGGGUGAGUCGACCCCUAAGGCGAGGCCGAAAGGCGUAGUCGAUGGGAAACGGGUUAAUAUUCCCGUACUUGGUGUUACUGCGAAGGGGGGACGGAGAAGGCUAUGUUGGCCGGGCGACGGUUGUCCCGGUUUAAGCGUGUAGGUGUGUGUUCCAGGUAAAUCCGGUUCACUUUAACACUGAGGCGUGACGACGAGGCACUACGGUGCUGAAGCAACAAAUGCCCUGCUUCCAGGAAAAGCCUCUAAGCAUCAGGUAACACGAAAUCGUACCCCAAACCGACACAGGUGGUCAGGUAGAGAAUAC
This 597-nucleotide ribosomal RNA is filed under the name Salmonella enterica subsp. enterica serovar Anatum. RNAcentral describes it as "partial 23S ribosomal RNA". It matches the Rfam family "Bacterial large subunit ribosomal RNA", at positions 1084 to 1681 of the family's 2925-position model. Lineage: Bacteria; Pseudomonadati; Pseudomonadota; Gammaproteobacteria; Enterobacterales; Enterobacteriaceae. The record is from RNAcentral.